CCAAUAGCGUAUAUUAAAGUUGUUGCAGUUAAAAAGCUCGUAGUUGAAUUUCGGGGUUAGUAGUUUGGACGUGCCAAUGGUAUGUACUGGGCUCACUGAUUCCUCCUUCCUGAUGAACUGUAAUGCCAUUAAUUUGGUGUUGCAGGGAAACUGGACUGUUACUUUGAAAAAAUUAGAGUGUUUAAAGCAAGCUAACGCUUGAAUACAUUAGCAUGGAAUAAUGAAAUAGGACGUUCGAUCCUAUUUUGUUGGUUUCUAGGAUUGACGUAAUGAUUAAUAGGGAUAGUUGGGGGCAUUAGUAUUCAAUUGUCAGAGGUGAAAUUCUUGGAUUUAUUGAAGACUAACUACUGCGAAAGCAUUUGCCAAGGAUGUUUUCAUUAAUCAAGAACGAAAGUUAGGGGAUCGAAGACGAUCAGAUACCGUCGUAGUCUUAACCAUAAACUAUGCCGACUAGGGAUCGGAUGAUGUUAAUUUUUUUUAAUGGCUCAUUCGGCGCCUUAUG
RNAcentral lists this ribosomal RNA (502 nucleotides) under uncultured Glomeromycotina. RNAcentral describes it as "partial small subunit ribosomal RNA". It matches the Rfam family "Eukaryotic small subunit ribosomal RNA", at positions 591 to 1092 of the family's 1831-position model. The record is from RNAcentral. Lineage: Eukaryota; Fungi; Glomeromycota.